CGUGAGUGAUGAAGGCUUUCGGGUCGUAAAACUCUGUUGUUAGGGAAGAACAAGUGCUAGUUGAAUAAGCUGGCACCUUGACGGUACCUAACCAGAAAGCCACGGCUAACUACGUGCCAGCAGCCGCGGUAAUACGUAGGUGGCAAGCGUUAUCCGGAAUUAUUGGGCGUAAAGCGCGCGCAGGUGGUUUCUUAAGUCUGAUGUGAAAGCCCACGGCUCAACCGUGGAGGGUCAUUGGAAACUGGGAGACUUGAGUGCAGAAGAGGAAAGUGGAAUUCCAUGUGUAGCGGUGAAAUGCGUAGAGAUAUGGAGGAACACCAGUGGCGAAGGCGACUUUCUGGUCUGUAACUGACACUGAGGCGCGAAAGCGUGGGGAGCAAACAGAAUUAGAUACCCUGGUAGUCC
RNAcentral lists this ribosomal RNA (405 nucleotides) under Bacillus cereus. RNAcentral's name for it is "bacterial SSU rRNA". It matches the Rfam family "Bacterial small subunit ribosomal RNA", at positions 400 to 796 of the family's 1533-position model. The record is from RNAcentral. Lineage: Bacteria; Bacillati; Bacillota; Bacilli; Caryophanales; Bacillaceae.